Molecule: ribosomal RNA, 423 nt
Filed under: uncultured bacterium
Lineage: Bacteria
Description: partial 16S ribosomal RNA
Rfam family: Bacterial small subunit ribosomal RNA
Source: RNAcentral
GAAUCUUCCACAAUGGACGAAAGUCUGAUGGAGCAAUGCCGCGUGAGUGAAAAAGGUUUUCGGAUCGUAAAACUCUGUUGUGAGGGAAGAACAAGUACGUGAGUAACUGCUCGUACCUUGACGGUAACAAAUUUGAACGCCACGGCUAACUACCUGCCAGCAGCUGCGGUAAUACGUAGGUGGCAAGCGUUGGCCGGAAUUAUUGGGCGUAAAGCGCGCGCAGGCGGUCCUUUAAGUCUGAUGUGAAAUCCCACGGCUCAACCGUGGAAGGUCAUUGGAAACUGGGGGACUUGAGUACAGAAGAGGAAAGCGGAAUUCCAAGUGUAGCGGUGAAAUGCGUAGAGAUUUGGAGGAACACCAGUGGCGAAGGCGGCUUUCUGGUCUGUAACUGACGCUGAGGCGCGAAAGCGUGGGGAGCAAACA